This 400-nucleotide ribosomal RNA is filed under the name uncultured bacterium. RNAcentral describes it as "bacterial SSU rRNA". It matches the Rfam family "Bacterial small subunit ribosomal RNA", at positions 355 to 772 of the family's 1533-position model. The record is from RNAcentral.
UGGGGAAUAUUGGACAAUGGGCGAAAGCCUGAUCCAGCAAUGCCGCGUGAGUGAUGAAGGCCUUAGGGUUGUAAAGCUCUUCUACCAGGGAUGAUAAUGACAGUACCUGGAGAAUAAGCUCCGGCUAACUCCGUGCCAGCAGCCGCGGUAAUACGGAGGGAGCUAGCGUUGUUCGGAAUUACUGGGCGUAAAGCGCACGUAGGCGGCUUUUUAAGUCAGGGGUGAAAUCCCGGGGCUCAACCCCGGAACUGCCUCUGAAACUGGAUGGCUAGAAUCUUGGAGAGGCGAGUGGAAUUCCGAGUGUAGAGGUGAAAUUCGUAGAUAUUCGGAAGAACACCAGUGGCGAAGGCGACUAACUGGACAUGUAUUGACGCUGAGGUGCGAAAGCCAGGGGAGCAAA